AGAAGAUGUCUCAUUUGUUGAGGAAACCCCUGCACCAUUGGAAGUCGUACCAACAGUUGAGGAGACCCCAGCUACAGAAGCAGUAGCUUCAUCUGUUGAGGAAAUUUCUGCACCGGUGGAUGUUGCAUCCAUUACUGAGGAAGUCAUGGCACUGGAAGAAGUUGGAUCAGUUACUGAGAAGUUUGUGCUACCAACAGAAGAAACCACAUCACCACUAGUAGAAGGGGUUUUGGCACCAGAAAUACUUGAUGUCCCUGCAACUUUACCUGAAGAACCAGUUGUAUGUGCAGAAGUUGCAGGAAGCAUUUUAGGAGAAGCAGAUAAACCCGUUGUGGAGACUCCAGCAGAAGAUGUCAACAAGCAGUAUAUUAUUGUUGUUUUGGAGGGAAAACCUAAAGAGGAAAAGAGGCCAAAGGUUCUAGGAGUUAGUCCGCUGACUGGUAGAAUCAUCCCAGCUACAGAAGAUGACAGUACCCCUCCCUCUGAGGUUGGACGAAGUCGUCUUAGGAUGCAAAUGCAGUAGAAUCGAUAAAGUAAACCUCCAGAAUGACGUCUUACUGUCCUCCAGUAGAUGUGCCUUUCUCCAACACUUUCCUUCAUCCUUUUAUCCUUAAAUACAAAGAGAGUCGCUCAGUUACGCUCCAAAGGCACGAGCUCACUCGACCCUGUUAGCAGUGGCCCAAACAACCCAUUACUGUGAAAUCCCACAUGGAUAAUGGUUCCAGGUGACUCCAGUCAUGUUAGAGAUGUCUGGUUGGUAUUUUAGCAUUGUUAGAAACUUUUCAGUGAAUCCUUGUCUGUUGACACUUUUUGACUGAACUGAAACUUUUAGUCAACACUUUAUUCUUAAUGUUACAGUUUACUGCUUUAAAAACACUCCUCUUAGAUGUGCUGAUACUCCGCACCGAGCCCAGCCGCCACAGUAUUAUCUUUCAGACUGAGCAGUUUUUAAGGGUCCCAGCGCUCUGUUAC
Long non-coding RNA from Nematolebias whitei (Rio pearlfish), 972 nucleotides. RefSeq lists it as uncharacterized. Lineage: Eukaryota; Metazoa; Chordata; Actinopteri; Cyprinodontiformes; Rivulidae. The record is from RefSeq and is a predicted model, not a curated record. The transcript has 3 exons.